RNAcentral lists this long non-coding RNA (615 nucleotides) under Homo sapiens (human). RNAcentral's name for it is "non-protein coding lnc-CITED2-3:1". Lineage: Eukaryota; Metazoa; Chordata; Mammalia; Primates; Hominidae. The record is from RNAcentral.
AACGAGGACUGAAAACAUGGCUGUUAAGAGAAGUAUGUGCUGUCGUAAGAGCCUGCAGUGAAGGAGCUGGCCUUGAUGAAGCAGCAGAACGUGAAAUGCCAAAACAGAUGGAGUUGCUUGGAUACAAGGAGAAUCUUACAGAAUACAAAUGAACUUGAAGGCAUUAGUAAUAUUUUCAAAAUAAUAGAGAAAUGACACAAAGAGUGAAAGAGGUGAAAUCUGUCUUUGAUGGGAAUAAUAUCUAAAAGGAGUAUUGUACAUAUCUGCUGGCAGCUUUAAAAAAAUUAAUGAUUACUGAAAUUCAGAAAUGUCAACAGUAUGAAAUGAGCAAAAUUACUUCCCUAACAAGAUUUUAUAAGAGAUAAAGUAGUGGGAUAUUUCCUUGAAAUAAUGUUCAUCAUCAAUGCUGAAGUUUACAGAGGACAAAAAUAUGAAAUCAUGUGUUCAUAGACAGCCCCAGGACACACACAGUGGAUGCAUUGUGUUCUCCUGGGUUGCAUAACUACUUUGAAAGAAGUUUUCUUUUCUGUGUCAUAAAAGAAGACUUUUUGGCUCUGCCAGGAUACUCUACCAUUUGGCCCCAUAGACUUCAAGCAUGCCUGAAGAUACGUGCCA